UUCCUGCUGUUUUCUUCCCAAGCCUCUUUCCCUCUAACCUGUCUCUCUUCCUUCCAGUCUUUCCCUCCUCCUGCUUCAGUCCUAGAGACUGUGAUCUCGGCUGGCAGUUUCUGAGCUCCGAGCGCUCCGCUUUUCUGUUUUUGCGCAGCGCCCUCAUUCUGCCAACCAAUCGCUGAGGAGCACCACCCACCGAGCCACCGCUAACUGGCAGAUCUGGCUGUCAAUCAUGAGCGUCACUCGGCAGCCGGGAGGGGUGGGAUGGAACCCGCGUUCGGGCGGGCUGCCGGGGUGAGUGUGAGUGUGAGAGUGAGAACAGCCCGGCAGGUCCCGAGGCGCUGGCUGGGGACUGUGCCGAGGAAAGUUCCCAGUCCCCAGCCGCAGGACGAUCCCUCGCGGCUUCCUGGUAAUGAAUGACCCGAGGGUAACACCAACACAACCUUCGAGAAAAGGCGGACCAUUUCCCCAAGCCCGAGGUACGUUUUCAUCUCUUCUUGAUAGGGAAUUAAGCAGAGCAAGUGUCCACGGGCGUGAUUGCAGACGGAGGC
This 545-nucleotide long non-coding RNA is filed under the name Felis catus (domestic cat). RNAcentral's name for it is "lncRNA (ENSFCAG00000049966.1)". Lineage: Eukaryota; Metazoa; Chordata; Mammalia; Carnivora; Felidae. The record is from RNAcentral.